CAAUAGUCAGCAUUUGAAGGAGCACCCUAAAAUGGCAACAGAUAAUGAAGUUGGCCCUUUAAAGAGUCUUCAGGUGCUGGUGCUGAGGCAAACUUAUCUGAUCAGAUCAUCUGUUCCUUCAGUCUAGCAAGCAAGAAACUUUGCAUAAAAAUACUCACACCAUCGAUCUAUGCCACAAGAUUUUAUAGUGGUUCACUGAGAUAUAUAUGGCUGGGAGAAAGGUUAGUCAAAUAUUUGUCAGAGGAAUGUUGUAUCUCCUAUGUAGAGCAGCUGAUUGGCAUCAAGAGACUUAUCUCCCCCAUAUCACAGGAAGAGUGGCACCAGGCUUAAUUGUCAAUAAAAGCAGUAUACAAGGAAGACAUUGGCUCUUUGGCUGCAUGAAAACUGUUCAGACAUAUGAGAAUAAAGAAGUGCAGAAGAAGUUCCUGUGGUGGUAACUGAAAGCAAGAAAUGGUGGUCUAUGGGAUAAAAAAGUUCACACAGCAGAAGUCAGUGAAUUUAGGAUGAGUUAAGCACUGAUCAGCUUCAUCCUAGUGAUAUUCUGAGUGGGAUACAUCUGCUCUCAACAUAGACGGCUUGAAAUCAAAACAUGAAAUUUACCCCAGCCAAGAUCAUGACCAGAUACAGAUCAAGAAAACAAAAUAAAUUUAGUUCUAUGAGAAAAACGACAUGCACAAUUAGGGUGGGAGGUCAGAGGAAGAAUAUGUGGGUGUGUGAAU
Long non-coding RNA from Cuculus canorus (common cuckoo), 719 nucleotides. RefSeq lists it as uncharacterized. Lineage: Eukaryota; Metazoa; Chordata; Aves; Cuculiformes; Cuculidae. The transcript is spliced from 3 exons. The record is from RefSeq and is a predicted model, not a curated record.